AGUGAACGCUGGCGGUAGGCCUAACACAUGCAAGUCGAACGGCAGCACAGUAAGAGCUUGCUCUUACGGGUGGCGAGUGGCGGACGGGUGCGGAAUACAUCGGAAUCUACUUUUUCGUGGGGGAUAACGUAGGGAAACUUACGCUAAUACCGCAUACGACCUACGGGUGAAAGCAGGGGAUCUUCGGACCUUGCGCGAUUGAAUGAGCCGAUGUCGGAUUAGCUAGUUGGCGGGGCAAAGGCCCACCAAGGCGACGAUCCGUAGCUGGUCUGAGAGGAUGAACAGCCACACUGGAACUGAGACACGGUCCAGACUCCUACGGGAGGCAGCAGUGGGGAAUAUUGGACAAUGGGCGCAAGCCUGAUCCAGCCAUACCGCGUGGGUGAAGAAGGCCUUCGGGUUGUAAAGCCCUUUUGUUGGGAAAGAAAAGCAGCAGGUUAAUACCCCGCUGUUCUGACGGUACCCAAAGAAUAAGCACCGGCUAACUUCGUG
This 492-nucleotide ribosomal RNA is filed under the name uncultured bacterium. RNAcentral describes it as "partial 16S ribosomal RNA". It matches the Rfam family "Bacterial small subunit ribosomal RNA", at positions 29 to 507 of the family's 1533-position model. The record is from RNAcentral.